GAAACUUAAAGGAAUUGGCGGGGGAGCACCACAAGGGGUGAAGCCUGCGGUUCAAUUGGACUCAACGCCGGGCAACUUACCAGGGGAGACAGCAGAAUGAAGGUCAGGUUGACGACCUUACCUAACAAGCUGAGAGGAGGUGUAUGGCCGUCGCCAGUUCGUGCUGUGAGGUAUCCUGUUAAGUCAGGCAACGAACGAGACCCGCGCCUUUAUUUGCCAUCAAGAAGUCACGACUUUGUUGGGAACGAUAAAGGGACCGCCGUCGAUAAGACGGAGGAGGGAGCGGGCAAAGGCAGGUCAGUAUGCCCCGAAACCCCUGGGCUACACGCGGGCUGCAAUGGUGCGAACAAUGGGCUGUGACUCCGAGAGGAGAAACCAAUCCCUAAAUCGCAUCUCAGUUGGGAUUGUCAACUGUAACCCGUUGACAUGAACGUGGAAUCCCUAGUAAUCGCGUGUCACCAUCGCGCGGUGAAUACGUCUCUGCUCCUUGCACACACCGCCCGUCGCUCCACCCGAGUGUGCUGGAAAUGAGGCAUGGUCAAAUUGGUUGUGUCGAGUUUCUAGCAUGCGAGGAGGGAGAAGUCGUAACAA
This 591-nucleotide ribosomal RNA is filed under the name uncultured crenarchaeote. Its description in RNAcentral is "bacterial SSU rRNA". It matches the Rfam family "Archaeal small subunit ribosomal RNA", at positions 851 to 1441 of the family's 1478-position model. The record is from RNAcentral. Lineage: Archaea; Thermoproteati; Thermoproteota.